This 249-nucleotide ribosomal RNA is filed under the name uncultured bacterium. RNAcentral's name for it is "partial 16S ribosomal RNA". It matches the Rfam family "Bacterial small subunit ribosomal RNA", at positions 796 to 1041 of the family's 1533-position model. The record is from RNAcentral.
CACGCCCUAAACGAUGUCGACUAGGUGUUCGGUGAGGAGACUCAUUGAGUACCGCAGCUAACGCGUGAAGUCGACCGCCUGGGGAGUACGGUCGCAAGAUUAAAACUCAAAGGAAUUGACGGGGACCCGCACAAGCGGUGGAUGAUGUGGAUUAAUUCGAUGCAACGCGAAAAACCUUACCUACCCUUGACAUGUACGGAACCCUGCUGAGAGGUAGGGGUGCUCGAAAGAGAGCCGUAACACAGGUGC